Molecule: long non-coding RNA, 319 nt
Organism: Saccostrea cuccullata (small rock oyster)
Lineage: Eukaryota; Metazoa; Mollusca; Bivalvia; Ostreida; Ostreidae
Exons: 3
Source: RefSeq, a predicted model, not a curated record
GUAAUCAUGAGGAACCCUCUGGCUUUCUGGUUUUUCUGUAUUUCGUUGGUGGGAGCACUGUCAAAGGACACUUGUGUGACAGAUGCUGACUGCACAUGCACCACUGGUCUUAUUCCCCACUGUCACAACGGAAAGUGUCACUGUCAUCACAGUACUCACGAGUGUAACCACCCGUACGACUGCACGUGCGAGCCUGGUCAACACGCCACGUGCGACCAUCAUCUCUGUCACUGCCAUUCACACGUGCAGUAAAUGUGCAAUCUGAAUGAAAGUACUACAGAAAUUCGUUAUGGAAGAAAAUAAUGACUGACUGAAAUAA